Molecule: long non-coding RNA, 247 nt
Organism: Oxyura jamaicensis (ruddy duck)
Lineage: Eukaryota; Metazoa; Chordata; Aves; Anseriformes; Anatidae
Exons: 3
Source: RefSeq, a predicted model, not a curated record
AACAUUAAACCCUAAGCUGGUGAGAAGGAAGGUGGAAGAAAAUGCAUUUCUCAGCUGCUGGUAGGUACACUGCCUGAAGCUGAGAGCUGAAAGCAAGAGCGAGGAUCAUCAUUGACCAAAGGAUGGACCAUAAUUUGAAAUACAGUCUUCAUCUUUAACGAAAGGAGAUUCAAGACUGAGAAAGACUAAGAGAAAUGUUUAAUGAACAUCUUGAGAAAGACAUGAAAGCAGCAUUAAACAGAAAGGU